CUUAUUUACUUCCUACUUUUCCUCAAAAUUCUUCCUUCCUUCCUUUCCUCACCUGUCUGCAGCUCGGAUUUGACUUUGUUCUUCGACAGUGAAGUCGGCCCUUCGCUCGCCGGCGAGUUAAUGUUGUGAAUAUUCAACAGCGUGUCGUGGGACGCAGGCGCAGUGGGACGGGCCCGGGCUCAGCACGGCAGGAGGUUCAGUCCCGGAGCACCUGUGCACCCUCACAAGGGGGACCAUCACUUUAAAACAAUUAUUCAGAUACCACACUUGAAUCCAACACAGAUUCACAUUAGGCUGGCACACUCACACAAUGAGGAGGAGCAGUCCUUCGUCCUAGGUGGGUAAAUGCCGUUUCAGGACAUCCUUGGCAUUUCCGGGCAGCGUCUCGGGAAAGUUAACGUCGAACUCCACCACCAGAUCCCCUCUCUGCUCGGGGUUUUUGGGGAAGGGGAGA
Acanthopagrus latus (yellowfin seabream) is the source of this 454-nucleotide long non-coding RNA. RefSeq lists it as uncharacterized. The record is from RefSeq and is a predicted model, not a curated record. The transcript has 4 exons. NCBI's taxonomy places the organism in Eukaryota, Metazoa, Chordata, Actinopteri, Spariformes, Sparidae.